RNAcentral lists this ribosomal RNA (28 nucleotides) under Klebsiella pneumoniae. RNAcentral also lists the same sequence under 1 other name. The record is from RNAcentral. Lineage: Bacteria; Pseudomonadati; Pseudomonadota; Gammaproteobacteria; Enterobacterales; Enterobacteriaceae.
CACCUGACCCCAUGCCGAACUCAGAAGU